AGUAGUCACAACCCCCUUGGAAAAGUGUCCACGCUAAGGUAGCCACUGAACGCAGCCUGGUCUAACCUGGCUCCAGUGAGGUGUUCUAAAUGACCUAAGGCCUAACCUGCUUCCCCCCUCGUAUUAGUAUGUAAUCAAAACCCUACCAGAGCCAGGCUGUCCCAAAGUGACAGAUGUUUACCCAUUCAUUAACAUGGGAGAUGUUUUACCUGAGAGAAGUGUUUUUCUUCGUUUGCUUCAAAGUGCUUUGUUUGAGUUUCUAAAGGGCCACCUCCAUCCAUGUCCUGGGUCCUCGCAGGUUCUCGAGACAUUCAGAGGAGUUUCCACCAGGCCACAUUAGGGGAAUGCUUCUCUUUUUCAGAAAAUGCCUUUGAAGAGAGAUUCCUCACAGAAAGGUCAAGAGGAAGUUUUAUUAAAUUUUCAAAAGUUCACGCAGUUUUGCCUUCAGUUGAUUGAAAUCUGCUUCUAGACAACACCUACCUCUGGCAAAGCCCGCCCCCUCCCCCAUACAACAGGCCUCAAAGAUCUGCAAUUCUGGUGUCUUCCAGGAAGCAUCUGGCACCUCAGUUCCACAAAAGUGUGCUUCAGUUUGCCUGGGUACCUACCAACUCCGUCAGCUUUUCCUCAUCCUUUCUGAAAAGCUCUUGGAAGGCAGUUCCUUUAGCCAUUAUCCCUCUCAAAAUGUGACCCCCACAGUAAAUUCAAGGUUUCAUCCCAAAUAACACAGAGUAAAAAGAUGUUUAAUGGCUUUUCUAAUUACUGUAUUUCCUCUAGUAAAUCCCGUGGGCUCUUAUGGCAACAGUAUUACCCCGAUGACUCCUAUAUUACAAUCUACUAGAAUGCUGAAGAAGUAGUCUUUUUCACAACUGCCCAGAGAGACACCCUCCUGACCUAUACUCAUUAUUGCUGGUGUUCAUCACUUAACACGCGAUUGAUUCUAUUAAGUUUGUGCUAAGUCAGGCCUCUUCUUUUAGCUUGUUGACAUGUUGAAUAUCACUGAUGUAAUUGAGUAAUUCCUCCUCCCAAUUUUGUCUUCUGCAAAUUCGGUCUGUAUGCCAUGUCAUCAUUCAAGUCCUCAUUCCCAGGCACUUUCCACUGCCAACUGACACUGAAUCAGCG
Molecule: long non-coding RNA, 1119 nt
Filed under: Suricata suricatta (meerkat)
Lineage: Eukaryota; Metazoa; Chordata; Mammalia; Carnivora; Herpestidae
Description: lncRNA (ENSSSUG00005015345.1)
Source: RNAcentral